UAUUAUGAUGACCGAUGGGCGGCUUGAAUAAUGAUGAUCCAUUGUAGCACUGAUAAAAA
This 59-nucleotide small RNA is filed under the name Saccharolobus islandicus HVE10/4. RNAcentral's name for it is "Sulfolobus islandicus HVE10/4 non-coding RNA". The record is from RNAcentral. Lineage: Archaea; Thermoproteati; Thermoproteota; Thermoprotei; Sulfolobales; Sulfolobaceae.